UAUUUUAACGAUUUAUGCAAUCAAAAUGAUUUUAGAAUUUCAUGUUGUAAAGAAUUUGAAUUGCGAAAAUACAUUUGAAUUUGGAAAACAAUCCUAAUCAGUUUUUGAUUCAAACACAUAAACUCAAUUAUAAUCCUAGCCCAAAUAACAAAGCCCAAAAUAAAUAACCCCAAAUAAACCCAUAACCCUUUCUCCUAUUCAACUUCACGUGAAACAAAAAUAAAAAGAGAAACAAAAGAAAACUCUCAAACCCUUGCUUCACCAUUCACGUGAAAACGCACAAGACUCUCUGCUUCAGCCACCGCCGCUCCUCCUUGCUGCUAUCCCUCACGCCGCCGUUCCUCUCCCCCGCCUUCACUUUCGUUGCUGCAGCCUCCCUCGCCGUCGGACCACCAUCACGCCACUGUUUCGUUCGCAGCAACCACCACCGCGCCACCAGCCGCGCCCAUAACGAUUGUUCGCCGCCGCACCACCAACAACCAUCGCGCGGACGCUGACACCCUCCGCCGUACUCCUCCGACCAGCGUCGCCGCCCACUGUUGCCGCGCCGCCCUGCCUGCCGGCCAGCAGCUUCCCUCUCCUCUCUUUUUUUGGCGGAGAAUUCUUUGUAGGCGACUUUUGAAUUAUUAAAGUGGUCUUGCAGUUUGUUUACACAAGUCUCUAAGGAUCAAUAAGCAUUGUCCAUCUGCAGGUUUGAAGAUGUUGCAUCAUUGGGAUCGGGAAUAGAGAGCUUGUAUUUAGUUUUGAUUUGCUAAGUUAACUUGGGUUUGUUAAUUGGGACUUUAAACUCGUCGUACUAUUUAUAUUUCCUUAUUUUCGUUGGUUGAUUUUUGGG
Spinacia oleracea (spinach) is the source of this 835-nucleotide long non-coding RNA. RefSeq lists it as uncharacterized. NCBI's taxonomy places the organism in Eukaryota, Viridiplantae, Streptophyta, Magnoliopsida, Caryophyllales, Amaranthaceae. The record is from RefSeq and is a predicted model, not a curated record. The transcript has 5 exons.